This 79-nucleotide transfer RNA is filed under the name Amycolatopsis taiwanensis. Its description in RNAcentral is "tRNA-Glu". Lineage: Bacteria; Bacillati; Actinomycetota; Actinomycetes; Pseudonocardiales; Pseudonocardiaceae. The record is from RNAcentral.
CUCGGGCUGGCGGGCGGAGGCCGUGGUGCCGUUCUCGUCGGCCCGGAAGUGGAGCGGCGCUCGCUUCGCCGGGCAGGGC